GACGGAGGGUGCUAGCGUUGUUCGGAAUCACUGGGCGUAAAGGGCGCGUAGGCGGCCUUGCAAGUCGGUUGGUUAAAGCCCGGGGCUCAACCCCGGAGGUGCGGCCGAGACUGCAGGGCUGGAGGCCGGAAGAGGAGGGUGGAAUACCCAGUGUAGAGGUGAAAUUCGUAGAUAUUGGGUGGAACACCGGUGGCGAAAGCGGCUCUCUGGUCCGGACCUGACGCUGAGGCGCGAAAGCGUGGGGAGCAAACAGG
RNAcentral lists this ribosomal RNA (254 nucleotides) under uncultured bacterium. RNAcentral's name for it is "partial 16S ribosomal RNA". It matches the Rfam family "Bacterial small subunit ribosomal RNA", at positions 524 to 776 of the family's 1533-position model. The record is from RNAcentral.